Molecule: ribosomal RNA, 1153 nt
Filed under: Soehngenia saccharolytica
Lineage: Bacteria; Bacillati; Bacillota; Tissierellia; Tissierellales; Tissierellaceae
Description: partial 23S ribosomal RNA
Rfam family: Bacterial large subunit ribosomal RNA
Source: RNAcentral
AAUCGAACUCGGAGAUAGCUGGUUCUCCUCGAAAUAGCUUUAGGGCUAGCCUCAAGGAAGAUUGAAAUGGAGGUAGAGCACUGAAUGGUCUAGGGGCGCAUAGCGUUACCGAAACCUAUCAAACUCCGAAUGCCAUAUUCAUAUACCCUUGGGAGUCAGACUGUGGGGGAUAAGCUUCAUAGUCAAAAGGGAAACAGCCCAGACCAUCAGCUAAGGUCCCAAAAUUCUAAUUAAGUGGUAAAGGAUGUGGAGUUACACAGACAACCAGGAUGUUGGCUUAGAAGCAGCCACACAUUUAAAGAGUGCGUAAUAGCUCACUGGUCGAGUGAUUCUGCGCCGAAGAUUUCCGGGGCUCAAAUUAGAUACCGAAGCUAUGGAUUGUAAUUUAUUACAGUGGUAGAGGAGCAUUGUAUGUGGGAAGAAGGUAUACCGUAAGGAGUGCUGGACUGCAUACAAGAGAGAAUGCUGGCAUAAGUAGCGAAAGGUGAGUGAGAAUCUCACCCGUCGAAAACCUAAGGUUUCCUGAGGAAGGCUCGUCCACUCAGGGUAAGUCGGGACCUAAGCUCAGGCUGAAAAGCGUAGGCGAUGGACAACAGGUGGAAAUUCCUGUACUAGUUAAAGGCGUUUGAGAAAUGGAGUGACGCAGGAGGAUAAGUUGAGCGCGGGGUUGGAAGACCGCGUCUAAGUAAGUAGGCAGAGGAGAUAGGCAAAUCCGUUUCCUUAAUGUCGAGAUACGAUGGGGAUCGAAAAACAAGUAGAGAAGCAACUGAUUCCACACUGCCAAGAAAAGCUUCUAUCGAGCUAAUAACUACCCGUACCGCAAACCGACACAGGUAGGUGAGGAGAGAAUCCUAAGACGAGCGGAAGAACCUUUGUUAAGGAACUCGGCAAAAUGACCCCGUAACUUCGGGAGAAGGGGUGCCAGUGAAAAAUAGGGUAUACACCCGAAAGAACAACUGGCCGCAGUGAAUAGGCCCAAGCGACUGUUUACCAAAAACACAAGUCUCUGCUAAGUUGAAAAACGAAGUAUAGGGGCUGACACCUGCCCGGUGCUGGAAGGUUAAGGGGAAGGGUUAGGAGAAAUCCGAAGCUCUGAACUUAAGCCCCAGUAAACGGCGGCCGUAACUAUAACGGUCCUAAGGUAGCGAAAUUC